AGUAUUCUGUCAAGGAGUCAUAAUCUACCUAAAAAGGUGAAGAGAGAAAGUAACCUGAGGAUGGAAACUCAAAUGACUAUAAACUUUUUCUCCAUCCAAGUUUUAGGUUGAAGAUGACAUCUUGAAGGAAAUCUGAAAUGGGGCAUAAGAGCAUCACAGGCCUAAUAAACUUUUUGUGUAGUAAUCUUUGCUGGUGGGUUAGUAUGUAUGUACAAG
Molecule: long non-coding RNA, 216 nt
Filed under: Panax ginseng (ginseng)
Lineage: Eukaryota; Viridiplantae; Streptophyta; Magnoliopsida; Apiales; Araliaceae
Description: long non-coding RNA (PGIN_LNC004276)
Source: RNAcentral